GCUCCAGUGGCCGAGUGGCCCGAGGCACCAGGCUUCCAACCUGGCGACAGGGGUUCGAUUCCCCUCUGGAGCU
Molecule: transfer RNA, 73 nt
Filed under: Gemmatimonadota bacterium
Lineage: Bacteria; Pseudomonadati; Gemmatimonadota
Description: Gemmatimonadetes bacterium (activated sludge metagenome) tRNA-Gly
Rfam family: tRNA
About the family: Transfer RNA (tRNA) molecules are approximately 80 nucleotides in length. Their secondary structure includes four short double-helical elements and three loops (D, anti-codon, and T loops). Further hydrogen bonds mediate the characteristic L-shaped molecular structure. tRNAs have two regions of fundamental functional importance: the anti-codon, which is responsible for specific mRNA codon recognition, and the 3' end, to which the tRNAs corresponding amino acid is attached (by aminoacyl-tRNA synthetases). tRNAs cope with the degeneracy of the genetic code in two manners: having more than one tRNA (with a specific anti-codon) for a particular amino acid; and 'wobble' base-pairing, i.e. permitting non-standard base-pairing at the 3rd anti-codon position.
Source: RNAcentral